This 385-nucleotide ribosomal RNA is filed under the name uncultured bolidophyte. RNAcentral's name for it is "SSU rRNA". It matches the Rfam family "Eukaryotic small subunit ribosomal RNA", at positions 587 to 975 of the family's 1831-position model. The record is from RNAcentral. Lineage: Eukaryota; Bolidophyceae.
AGCUCCAAUAGCGUAUAUUAAAGUUGUUGCAGUUAAAAAGCUCGUAGUUGGAUUUCUGGUGAAAGCGUUUGGACGGCCCAAUGGGUUUGUUCCGAUACGUCUUUUGCCAUUCUUGAAGGGAACUUGUCUGGCAUUAAGUUGUCGGGCUUGGGAUCUUCAUCGUUUACUGUGAAAAAAUUAGAGUGUUCAAAGCAGGCUUAUGCCGUUGAAUACAUUAGCAUGGAAUAAUAAGAUAGGACCUUGGCACUAUUUUGUUGGUUUGCGUACCUAGGUAAUGAUUAAUAGGGACAGUUGGGGGUAUUCGUAUUCAAUUGUCAGAGGUGAAAUUCUUGGAUUUAUGGAAGACGAACUACUGCGAAAGCAUUUACCAAGGAUGUUUUCAUUA